GAUGCCCCGUAGAGCUCCGCCAGCUUCCGGAAACGGGGCCCCCAGUCCGUCAGGAAGUCGAAGCUCUGCUCCGAGUCUGAUGUGGCCGACUGCAGGGAGCUGAGCGAGCCGGCCACGGAGCCGUCCCCCUCGAACAUCUCGUGAACAGUGACAGCUUGACAACACUGAAAACAGCCCCCAGUUUAUCCAAGGGGGGAAAAAUGGAGUACAGUCAUAUGUCCAGCAAGGAUGGCGGAGCUGCCAGUCACGCCCAUGGAUGUCUGUCUUGAGUGUGAGGUCCAGGACUGUGUUAAACUGCAACGAGGGCAGCCGAUUCUGAGACACCAUGAGCUGGUGAACUAAAAGAAGGUGGAGGGGCGAAAGGAGGAGAUUAUAAAGAAUGAGAAGGCAACCGGAGGAGAUGGUCUCACACCAACAACAAGGCAGACAGAAGAGAAACACAGACAUGGAGAGAAGAUGCAGCGAGGCAGAGGAAAUAUAAUAACGUGGAAAGACAUACGGUCAUGUUUGUUUAAACAUCUGUGUUGUGCUCUAUCUGUGUUUUCUUUAGAAGUGUUCGAAGGAAGUCUAGUUCUUUUGCUCAUAGAGUCAACUAAGAACUCAGGUUGUUCAUUGGAGAAUCUGCAUUUUAAAUUAGAUACAAAAUACACAAGAGGGGCAGCAUCAAUGUGAGGUCAACCAGGAAAUGGCAGUGGAUUGCCACCGCCAUAGAGUCUCUGGGCCUAAUGAAUGGAAAAGGGCGAGGGGGCAAAGAGGCUGGGGAAUCCUCGGUUUCCUCUGUUGGUUUGACUCUAGAAAGCACUCAAUUCCCACCCAAAGAGCUAAGGUUUUGCCAAAUGGUUCUAUAUUCUAUAUUUUUUAUAAUAGCCCUAAAGAAGAAAAAAACCCCAGAACAUGUUCCCCUCCCGUCAUAUCUGAUCCUUCCAACAAGUCUGUGAAGUAGGUGGGACAGGUAUUAAUACUGAUGUCAUCUAGUCAAGUGGGAGAUGAGGAAACAGACUAGGGAUUGAAUUGCUUGGGGAAAAUUACCUAGCUAGAAAGGAUAGUAGUAGUAAUAUUCAUAGUGGCUGAACAUGGGGUGGCUCUGCCACUAUGAUAUUUUGGGCAAGUAAUUUAACCUUUCUGUGCCUCAAUUUCCUCAUUUGUACAGUGGGGAGACUAAUAAGAGUACCUGAUUUUUAAGGUGGUUGUCAGCAUUACAUGAGAUAGUACAACAAGCACGUAGAACAGUAUCUGGCAAAACUCUUAAGUACUAAAUGCUAGCUAUUAUUAUUCUAAUUAUUAAUGAACACUAAACCAUUCAGAACAAGUGUUCUGGAUUCAUAGCCACAGCUCAUUUGAAUAAAAUAUACUUAGGCAACCAGUGAAGCCUCAUAAUCAGAGGUCACCACCUCUUUUCAGAUUCUGGGAAUGCUUCAAAGAUAAGACUGAUGCUCAACAGUAGAAGAAAGAGUUUCAGGCAGAGCAAGGUUCUGUUUAGGAGAAUUUCUGAUUGUAAGAAGUUCUAUCGGAAAUGGCUUCAUUAAUCAAGGGGUCUUCUUUGUUUAACGAUAAACUAUUUCCAUUGAAAAAGUCCCCUAUCCGAACCUAGGUUCUUGUGGUUAAAACUGUCGUGCUCUCAAGAUGUCUCUUCUCAAACUUUGUUUUUUGAUUUUUAAAUAGUUACGUAAUUAAUGUAUACGUAAUCAUAUAUUCUGUUUAACCAUGAAUAGUUUUUAUUUUUUAAACAUAAAAGCAGCUCUAUUAAAGUAGAUUAGAAGUCUUUUAAGCAUUGGAAGAGAUUUGGUUUGCAGAUCUUAUACCAAACAUGAGAAGUGCAUCAUCUAGGGUUGUUACUCCUGAACAACAAGUAAAAGACAAUUAUAGGUCAGAGAAAACCUCAGAGAGGUAUCUACCAAACCCUGUGGAGACCACAGAAUACCCAGGCCAGGUCUUACUCUGCAUAUGAUAACCUGAAAGAAGGAAUAAAAAAAUUUGAGCUUGUUACCAUCAAAUGUACGAACAUUUAUUAUCGAGCAGCCACUUGGAUUCCACACCUACCUAGGAGCAAAUAAGAGGACUGGGGCCAUUCAAACUAUAGGAUGGAGGACUGAGGUUAGCAACUUAGUGUGGAAUGGGGCCACUCCAAGCUGUAAGCUUACUAAAUGAUAGGACCAUAAGAGUGCAUUUUUUAGAACUCUGUGGGGUAAGUUCUAUCGUGAAGAGGGGUCCCGAAUUUAAACUUACAUGCCUUUGUUUACUUUUUUCAGUAAUUUAUUAAAAACUCUGUCUAAAAGGGAUGCUCAUCAUGGAGAUGAUGUUAACUGUACCAUUUUGUAUAAAAAAUAUUAAUUUGAGGUAAAAUUAAAGGGUCAUCUUUUUGAUGUCAUUUAGGACAGAAUUAUAUGGUUAUUGUUUUUUAUGGUAAAUUAUGGGUUUUUUGCUUGCUUGCCUAAUUCAAGUUCUCAUAACAUCUUCACAUUCCCAUUUGGUAAAUAAUUGUAUACUUGUAGAACUCUUAGAAGACAAAUAUGUGGCCAAAAGAAUAUUAUUAAGAAAAUACUAUGACCUUUCAGUGGUUUUAUAAUUAGCCAUAUUGAAGAAACCCAAAACAUGGAAUAAAUUAUUCAAAAGCUGUCUCAUCUUAAGAUUAUGUAAGAAUGCAUAUUCACAUUUAAAAAGAACAGUUGAACUCUUUUCCAGAAAAUAAUUUCAUUAAUAGCUUCAGAACCUUUAUCUUGCAAACUGUCCCAUUAAAUCUUUUACCCAUAAAUCAUACUUUUUAAUUAACUGAACUACAGACUUUAUUUAGAUUUCCUCAAUUUUUUCCACUAAUGUCCGUUUUAUAUUCCAGGAAUCAAUCCAGGAUCCCACAUUGCAUUUAAUUGUCAUGUCUGUUUUAAUCUCCUCCAAUCUGUGACAGUGUUCUGAGCUACCCUUGUCCUUCAUGAUAUUGAUACCUUUGAAGAGUACUGGUUAGGUAUUUUGUAGCAGGCCCAUCAAUUUGGGUUUGUGUGAUGGUUUCUCAAAUCAUACCUUUUAGUGAAAUUUUCUUACUUUUCAGUGGAAAUAAUAGAAUUUAUGAGCUGGAAGCAACCUUAGAAAUCAUUUUAUUGACUAGUCCAAAUUCCUGAUUUUAUUGGCAUGGAAAGAAAGGCCUCUGUGGUUUAAAUGGCUUCCUCCAGAUCAGUUGAUUAGUGAGUGACUGGGCUAGGACUAGUACUUGGUUCUCUUGUCACACACCUGAUGCUUUUUCAAGGCACCAUGCAAAUGAUGCCUCUGUCUUUGGCUAGCCAACACCUUAGCACAGUGGGGGCCAACAGACUCUGGUGAUGCUGUUUAUGCUCCUGAGGCAUCAUUCACAGAGAAUGCCAUGUGAACAGUACUCCCUGGGCUUAUGCAGCUCUGAUGUGUCUACUUGGACUAUUUAUAAAAUAAUUUGAGGUAGCUUAUAAUAAAAGAACAGAUAGAGUAAAACAAAAACAUGAGAUCCUACAAUAUUGAUUACUUGGAUAUAAUAUGAUUGGCAGAUGGUCCCAGUGCUCUACCCAGAUCUUGUUUUUAGAAGGGAGUGGCUGAAGGGCAGACAUUUUUUGUCUUUUAAGGGAGUGAAGUAGGAAGUGACUCCUCCUGUUACUUGGAAUGUUCUCAUUUCCGUGUACAGUGCAUGUUUUCUUUGAAAUAAUCAAUCUCUUUCCCACAUGUCUAAUAAAUCAAAACACGUUUUUCUCCCUCCCAGUCCAUUAUACACACAGGUACUGGAAGGCUGACCAAAAAAUAGUGUUGUGCAUUAAUCUUGCACUUCACAACUCUGCAUUUCACGUAACAGAACUUCUUGGAUUUCCACUUAAAAUGUUAAAGUGGAGUUUUAUCAUAGUUACCAAAAUAAAAGACAUAAGCCAACAGAGUGGGAGAAAUGAUCUUGCAAACCACAUAUCUGACAAAGAACUAGUAUCUAGAAUACAUAAAGAACUCUCAAAACAAAACAGUAAAAAAACCAAUUAACUUAGAACAUGGGUGAAAGAAAUGAAGAGACAUUUCACCAAAGAAGUGAUACAGAUGGUAAAUAAGCACAUGAAAAGAUAUUCAGCAUCAUUAGCUAUUAGAGAAAUGUGAACUAAAACCAUAAUGCAAUAUUACUAUGUGCCAAUCAUAAUGGCCAAAAUAAAAAAUCGUGGCAACAUCAAAUGCUGGUGAGGAUGAGGAUAGACUGGAUUACUCAUGCAUUGCUAGUGGGAAUGUAAAAUGGAACAACCACACUGGUAAAGAGUUUGGCAGUUUCUUUAAACAACUAAACAUGCAGUUACCAUACUCUCAAACAAUUGCACUCCUGGGUAUCUUCCCCAGAGAAAUGAAGACUUACAUUCACACAAAAACCUGUACAUGAAUGUUUAUAGCAGCUUUACUCAUAAUAGAUCCUAAAUGGAAACAACCCAGAUGUCCUUCAAUGGAUGAAUGGUUAAGCUGUGGUACAUCUAUACCACAGAAUACUACUCAGAAAUGAAGAGAACCAUUGAUAGAUGCAGCAACCUGGAUGAAUCUCCAGAGAAUUACAUUGAGUGAAAAAAGCUGAUCCAAAGAGGUUACACACUGUAUGAAUCUAUUAAUAGAUCAUUCUUGAAAUGCCAAAAUUAUAGACGUAGAGAUCCAAUUAGUGGUUGUCAAGGGUUAAGGAAUGGGUAGAGGCAGGAAGGAAGUAGACGUGGUUGUAAAAUAGCAACAUGAAAGACCCUUGUGGUGAUGGAAACGUUCUCUACUGUGACUGUAUCAUUGUCACUGUCCUGCUUGUGAUCUUGUACUAGAGUUACCAAGAAGUUACCAUGUGGGGAACUGGGUAAAAGGUACACAGAUUCUCUCGGAAUUAUUUCUUAUAACCUCACGUGAACCUACAAUUAUCUCAAAAUAAAAAGUUUAAUUAAAAAAAGGGGUUAUGCCAGACAUUAAAGAAAGAAAAGGGGUCUACUUUUUACUGAAAAUACUUCUGUUUGAAUUUUUUUUAAUCAGCUGAUAUUCAUGCAUUAUUAGUCCAAUAAAAAUUACCAAAAGAGAGGGACUGGCCUGGUGGUGUAAUGGUUAGGUUUGUGUGCUACACUUCAGUGGC
This is a long non-coding RNA of Equus caballus (horse), 5080 nucleotides long. RefSeq lists it as uncharacterized. The record is from RefSeq and is a predicted model, not a curated record. Lineage: Eukaryota; Metazoa; Chordata; Mammalia; Perissodactyla; Equidae.